AGAGAGAGAGAGAUGAUACUGGUAGCAAUAGUGGCAGAGCUAAUGGAGGAAUACACGGUGCUGCUGGCGAGGGUGCUUGAGCAUUUGUUUCACGACGCUCCUUUUCCAAGACGUGUUCGUUUUCUCAUUCUUCGCAAUCUUCCAUUUGUCUCCUCCUCCUCCUCCGCCUCCGCUUUCAGCAGGAGACCUCCCUUGCUUCCAGCCCCCGCUUAAGCUUUGUCUCAUUCACCGUCUUUUCUUUUUUCUUUUUUUUUUGUAAAAUUUAAAUAUGUUGCUUGGCGGCUGAAUUUGUCAAUCAAUCUUUCCUUUUUCUUUUGUAUGUUAUAAUGUAUAUUCUUAAUUCUUGGAGUUGGGAGUUGUGUACGUGUUUCUUUCUGGU
This 379-nucleotide long non-coding RNA is filed under the name Citrus sinensis (sweet orange). RNAcentral's name for it is "long non-coding RNA (CSIN_LNC001856)". The record is from RNAcentral. Lineage: Eukaryota; Viridiplantae; Streptophyta; Magnoliopsida; Sapindales; Rutaceae.